RNAcentral lists this ribosomal RNA (498 nucleotides) under uncultured bacterium. Its description in RNAcentral is "partial 16S ribosomal RNA". It matches the Rfam family "Bacterial small subunit ribosomal RNA", at positions 28 to 507 of the family's 1533-position model. The record is from RNAcentral.
GACGAACGCUGGCGGCGUGCCUAAUACAUGCAAGUCGAACGAGAGCGACCGGUGCUUGCACUGGUCAAUCUAGUGGCGAACGGGUGAGUAACACGUGGGUAACCUGUCCAUCAGAGGGGGAUAACAUCCGGAAACGGAUGCUAAAACCGCAUAGGUCUUCGAGCCGCAUGGCUUGAAGAGGAAAAGAGGCGCAAGCUUCUGCUGAUGGAUGGACCCGCGGUGCAUUAGCUAGUUGGUGAGGUAACGGCUCACCAAGGCCGUGAUGCAUAGCCGACCUGAGAGGGUGAUCGGCCACAUUGGGACUGAGACACGGCCCAAACUCCUACGGGAGGCAGCAGUAGGGAAUCUUCCGCAAUGGACGCAAGUCUGACGGAGCAACGCCGCGUGAGUGAAGAAGGUUUUCGGAUCGUAAAACUCUGUUGUUAGAGAAGAACAAGUGCUAGAGUAACUGUUAGCGCCUUGACGGUAUCUAACCAGAAAGCCACGGCUAACUACGUG